RNAcentral lists this non-coding RNA (94 nucleotides) under Halorhodospira halochloris. Its description in RNAcentral is "TPP sequence". It matches the Rfam family "TPP riboswitch aptamer (THI element)". From Rfam's summary of the family: Vitamin B(1) in its active form thiamin pyrophosphate (TPP) is an essential coenzyme that is synthesised by coupling of pyrimidine and thiazole moieties in bacteria. The previously detected thiamin-regulatory element, thi box was extended, resulting in a new, highly conserved RNA secondary structure, the THI element, which is widely distributed in eubacteria and also occurs in some archaea. Analysis of operon structures identified a large number of new candidate thiamin-regulated genes, mostly transporters, in various prokaryotic organisms. Lineage: Bacteria; Pseudomonadati; Pseudomonadota; Gammaproteobacteria; Chromatiales; Ectothiorhodospiraceae. The record is from RNAcentral.
GCCUGAAGCUAGGGGUGCCCCCGAAGGGGGCUGAGACAGUCCCUUGGAACCUGAACCGGAUCAUACCGGCGGAGGGAAGCUUCGGAGGCGCGCA